Molecule: transfer RNA, 73 nt
Filed under: Camelus bactrianus (Bactrian camel)
Lineage: Eukaryota; Metazoa; Chordata; Mammalia; Artiodactyla; Camelidae
Also listed under: 2 other names
Rfam family: tRNA
About the family: Transfer RNA (tRNA) molecules are approximately 80 nucleotides in length.
Source: Rfam by way of RNAcentral
GCAGGUAUAGCUCAAGCAGUAGAGUUCAUGCUUAGUAUAGACAAGUUCCUGGGUUCAAUUCCCAGUACCUCCU